RNAcentral lists this ribosomal RNA (253 nucleotides) under uncultured bacterium. RNAcentral describes it as "partial 16S ribosomal RNA". It matches the Rfam family "Bacterial small subunit ribosomal RNA", at positions 524 to 776 of the family's 1533-position model. The record is from RNAcentral.
UACGUAGGUGGCAAGCGUUGUCCGGAAUUAUUGGGCGUAAAGGGCGCGUAGGCGGCCUGAUAAGUCAGAUGUGAAAUCCCGAGGCUCAACCUCGGACUGGCAUUUGAAACUGUCGGGCUAGAGUGCAGGAGAGGAAAGUGGAAUUCCUAGUGUAGCGGUGAAAUGCGUAGAGAUUAGGAGGAACACCAGUGGCGAAGGCGACUUUCUGGACUGUAACUGACGCUGAGGCGCGAAAGCGUGGGGAGCAAACAGG